This 468-nucleotide ribosomal RNA is filed under the name uncultured bacterium. RNAcentral's name for it is "partial 16S ribosomal RNA". It matches the Rfam family "Bacterial small subunit ribosomal RNA", at positions 28 to 507 of the family's 1533-position model. The record is from RNAcentral.
GACGAACGCUGGCGGCGUGCUUAACACAUGCAAGUCGAACGGAAAGGCCCUGCUUUUGUGGGGUGCUCGAGUGGCGAACGGGUGAGUAACAGGAGAGUAACCUGCCCUUGACUUUGGGAUAACUACAGGAAACUGGGGCUAAUACCGGAUAGGAGCUCCUGCGGCAUGGUGGGGGUGGGAAAGUUUCGGCGGUUGGGGAUGGACUCGCGGCUUAUCAGCUUGUUGGUGGGGUAGUGGCUUACCAAGGCUUUGACGGGUGGCCGGCCUGAGAGGGUGACCGGCCACAUUGGGACUGAGAUACGGCCCAGACUCCUACGGGAGGCAGCAGUGGGGAAUAUUGCACAGUGGGCGGAAGCCUGAUGCAGCAACGCCGCGUGCGGGAUGACGGCCUUCGGGUUGUAAACCGCUUUCGCCUGUGACGAAGCGUGAGUGACGGUAAUGGGUAAAGAAGCACCGGCUAACUACGUG